Molecule: ribosomal RNA, 465 nt
Filed under: Vreelandella stevensii
Lineage: Bacteria; Pseudomonadati; Pseudomonadota; Gammaproteobacteria; Oceanospirillales; Halomonadaceae
Description: partial 16S ribosomal RNA
Rfam family: Bacterial small subunit ribosomal RNA
Source: RNAcentral
CCUACGGGCGGCAGCAGUGGGGAAUAUUGGACAAUGGGGGGAACCCUGAUCCAGCCAUGCCGCGUGUGUGAAGAAGGCCCUCGGGUUGUAAAGCACUUUCAGUGAGGAAGAACGCCUGGUGGUUAAUACCCAUCAGGAAAGACAUCACUCACAGAAGAAGCACCGGCUAACUCCGUGCCAGCAGCCGCGGUAAUACGGAGGGUGCGAGCGUUAAUCGGAAUUACUGGGCGUAAAGCGCGCGUAGGUGGCUUGAUAAGCCGGUUGUGAAAGCCCCGGGCUCAACCUGGGAACGGCAUCCGGAACUGUCAAGCUAGAGUGCAGGAGAGGAAGGUAGAAUUCCCGGUGUAGCGGUGAAAUGCGUAGAGAUCGGGAGGAAUACCGGUGGCGAAGGCGGCCUUCUGGACUGACACUGACACUGAGGUGCGAAAGCGUGGGUAGCAAACAGGAUUAGAUACCCGGGUAGUC